RNAcentral lists this ribosomal RNA (370 nucleotides) under uncultured prokaryote. RNAcentral's name for it is "bacterial SSU rRNA". It matches the Rfam family "Bacterial small subunit ribosomal RNA", at positions 524 to 896 of the family's 1533-position model. The record is from RNAcentral.
UACGUAGGUGGCAAGCGUUGUCCGGAUUUAUUGGGUUUAAAGGGUGCGUAGGCGGUCCUUUAAGUCAGUGGUGAAAUACAGCCGCUCAACGGUUGAGGUGCCAUUGAUACUGAAGGACUUGAGUACAGUCGAGGUAGGCGGAAUUGACGGUGUAGCGGUGAAAUGCUUAGAUAUCGUCAAGAACACCGAUAGCGAAGGCAGCUUGCUAGGCUGUAACUGACGCUGAGGCACGAAGGUGCGGGGAUCAAACAGGAUUAGAUACCCUGGUAGUCCGCACAGUAAACGAUGGUCACUCGGUGUUGGCGAUACACGGCCAGCGCCUUAGCGAAAGCGUUAAGUGACCCACCUGGGGAGUACGCCCGCAAGGGUG